UUAUCGAAUACUAUAUGCACUUGCCUUGCAGCUUUGGAUGAACAUUUUUUUUUUUUUUUUUAGUUUGUAUCAAAGUGCGACUUAUGUAAUUUGGGAAUAGAGUAGGCUGUGUGUAACUUUAUUUUUGGAACAGUCGUUGGUGUUUACGGCGAAUCGUCAUAGUCGAGAGGCACGAAGUGGACAAUUUGCAAAUUCAUAAAUGCGUCGGUAAUAUCAAUAGCGUUACUUUUUCACUAGUGGAAGAUUUGUCAAAAUGUCAUCCUUGGGCGAAUUGCCAAAGUUACUUUUGAUUAAAAAUAGCUUUCGUAAACGGAAGAGACGUUUAUUAUAAAGGAAGUGACGAAUCGAUUUUCAAAUUUCUUAUCGAAACAGAAAACCCCCUUUCUUUUUUUCUCUUUCUUUCAUUUUGAUAGUAUGUUAAGCUGCAUUUGAAGUUAUACUUUUUUGUCCGAUAAUUAAUUAUGCUAAGUUAAACAUCCGUCAGUUUUUCUCUAUCGAUUUUGAAGUCUGAGAAUUGCUCCCAUAAAUUGGCUUCGUUUUUCGAACUGGAUACGAGCCAAUUAUAAAUUUUAUCCCUGUUCCUGUUGUUUGUGGGAUCGAGUUCGACCUUGAUCAUAUGUCGCUAACCGUAUAAAAUGUGUAGGUGGACACGAUUUAUACCAUCUGCAGGUUUUGACACUUUACCCUUUCUGUUGUGUGGGACACAAAAAUCCCUGAAUAAUCACGAUUAUCUACCGCAUAUAUGUAAGCAUGAAGGGUUGGUAAACUUGUUUUUAAACAUGUUUUCGAACAGUAAUAAAAAAGUUCAGUAUCUUAAAACGAGCCGAAACAAAAGCUCACUAUCUUAAACUCUAAAUAAAGAAACGGAAUAAAUUUUGGCACGAGACCGCUUGCAGAAUCCACAGAACGAUUGUAAAAUCUACCAAGUUUAUACUACACAUUGAAGUAUAUUAUCCAAGUUGUGCAGGGAAGAACACUGUGCGAACUAAAAUAAACUUCUCUUCUAAUCAUUUUUUUCUUUGUUAAUUAAAACAAUAUUCCAGACCGAAGCCAAGCAAUAACUUCGUGUUUAUUGAAAUUUAAGUGGUAUAAACUAUUUCCAAAUGGAAAAGCCAACAAUAAGAAGAGUGGCGAGGAGUUUCUCCUAAAAGUUCGUCGACCGUUGUCAUAACAACCAACGCACGAUCGAAACUCACUAUGCUGAUUUUUAUUGUCCUCUUUCAGUUUUUAUUUGAAUGCCUUCUAUAAGUGAAAAAUUCCUUCUAAUUAUAGUUUGCUUUAGAAUAGAGUAAGAAAAUGUAUUAAUCUCCUUUUAUUUAGUCAAGUUUAACAGAUACGAAAAUCGAUAUUCGUAAUCUGGUAGAUUAAGAGCAUUGAUCAUCCUUGCAGCCUCCAUGCUUUUCAAACUUCUCGACAACUUUUUUACUCUAUCGGCUUGUAAAAAAAAAAAAAAACCCAUAUAAAAAUGCUACACUCACUAAUCCUACAUUAAAAAAUGUCAUCUGCAUUAAUGCCCGUAAUUUUUAAAA
This 1529-nucleotide long non-coding RNA is filed under the name Androctonus crassicauda. Lineage: Eukaryota; Metazoa; Arthropoda; Arachnida; Scorpiones; Buthidae. The record is from RNAcentral.